RNAcentral lists this ribosomal RNA (632 nucleotides) under Gigartinales sp. ARS-2011. RNAcentral's name for it is "eukaryotic LSU rRNA". It matches the Rfam family "Eukaryotic large subunit ribosomal RNA", at positions 1264 to 1920 of the family's 3401-position model. Lineage: Eukaryota; Rhodophyta; Florideophyceae; Gigartinales. The record is from RNAcentral.
GAAUCCGCYAAGGAGUGUGUAACAACUCACCUGCCGAAUGAAUUAGCCCUGAAAAUGGAUGGCGCUGAAGCGGGUGACCGACACCAUGCCGUUUGGGCAAGAAAACGCUCAGAUGAGUAGGAGGGCGUGGGGAUUGUGUCGAAGCAUGCGUGCAAACGUGUGUGGAACGGUCUCUAGUGCAGAUCUUGGUGGUAGUAGCAAGUAUUCAAGUGAGACCCUUGAAGGGCGAAGCGGGGAAGGGUUCCACGCGAACAUUGAUUGGGCGUGGGUGAGUCGUUCCUAAGCCGAGUGGCAAUUGCUAAGUAGCGGCGAAAGGGAAGCGGGUUGACAUUCCCGCACACGGAUGUGGAGGCGGUGACGCACUACUGGGACGGAGACGCUGGCGACGGCGCUGGGCAGAGUUGUCUUUUCUGUUUGACCGUGCGAAAAGCUGUGUGGAAUCCGCUUGUCGGGAGAAACACGCUUAUUCGGGCAGAGCGCCGGGACUUUUCCGGCGUCCAGCUCGCCGUCGACGGCCCUUGAAAAUCUGUMUGSUGAUUUAAUCCACGCCGUGGCGUACCGAUCACCGCAUCAVGUCCCCAAGGUGAACAGCCUCUGCUCGAUAUGAAAAAUGCAGGUAAGGGAAGUCGGCA